RNAcentral lists this long non-coding RNA (1080 nucleotides) under Cyanistes caeruleus (blue tit). RNAcentral's name for it is "lncRNA (ENSCCEG00000022424.1)". The record is from RNAcentral. Lineage: Eukaryota; Metazoa; Chordata; Aves; Passeriformes; Paridae.
AUAAUUGCCAGCUCCUUGGCAUCAGAUCCAGUCUACCUUAGUGCCACUUUACUGUCUGGAAAUUCAAGUUCCUGGCGUCAAGGGGCUCCAAUCACUUCCACAAUUUCUAGAAAUAGCUGUGACCUGCUUUUUUGCACCAUUUCCAUCCUUACAGGCUGAACCUGAGCUCCUAGAAACAGAACACUAUUGAAGUGUGAGCUUUUUUAGUACUUUCUGCUUGGUAACUUCAUUUUUCUGAUUUAAUUACAGGUUUCAUGUUUAGAGUAUGGAGAAGGACAUCUUGUAUAAAGGCAUCUUUUCAUGUGUGGACAGACCAUAAAAACAUAGCAGAGCUGGAAUGGCAGGGCUCUGUCCCCAGAGAUCCCGUGGCACACAAAUGUCCCUUUGCUCCAUGGCAAACAGAGCCACAACAAUCACAUCCAUCCAUGGCAGGAGCACUGAGAAGAGAGAAAAGCUGGAGCUGUUGUGGCAGAAGUAGGGACAGCCAGGAGGAAUGCCUGCAAACAUCCUGACAUUGAACUUCUAAUUCCAUUUUCCGUAAGGACGCUGGCAUCUGGUGUGUUAUUAAGUAACUCGGUGGAGAUCUGUUAAAUGCAUAACCUCCCUGCACAAAGGAUACAUUCUUUUACUGCCUUUCUCCCUUUAACCCCUGCUUCCCUUUGAUACUUGCCUGCUCCACAGUUGCCAAUCAUGAUUUUGCAAACUCAGUUGAAACAUUUCAGUGGGACAAAUCACCCUGUUUUUUUCACUCCCUGCCAUCCUCAGGAGUUUACAGUCAGAACCUCCAUUGCUUUCAGCCUGAAAUUUCCCUUUGCUUUCCUGCAAAUCCUUGGAGUUGUUUUCAACAAGAUGCACCAAGGUGUUUCACCAAGAGAAAAAACAUCUGACAAAAGUUCCCAGGGCAGAUGGAAGAAAAUGGGCAUCAGUUUAGAUUGUCUGUGCCAGGAAAUAUAUAAUAAUGCCGUCAUUCUUAAGACAACUCUGCAGCAGCAGGCUCAGACAGCUACAAAGUGGAGCACAUGCAUGGAUUUGUCAUCCUGUCUUACUCUUAAACAACAUUGGCUUCUUUGUCAAUUGUGA